GGCCGCGGGAAUUCGAUUCAGGCCUAACACAUGCAAGUCGAGCGAUCUUCUUCGGAAGAGAGCGGCGGACGGGUGAGUAACGCGUGGGUAACCUGCCCUGUACACACGGAUAACAUACCGAAAGGUAUGCUAAUACGAGAUAAUAUGCUUUUAUCGCAUGGUAGAAGUAUCAAAGCUUUGGCGGUACAGGAUGGACCCGCGUCUGAUUAGCUAGUUGGUGAGGUAAUGGCUCACCAAGGCGACGAUCAGUAGCCGACCUGAGAGGGUGAUCGGCCACAUUGGAACUGAGACACGGUCCAAACUCCUACGGGAGGCAGCAGUGGGGAAUAUUGCACAAGGGGCGGAAGCCUGAUGCAGCAACGCCGCGUGAGCGAAGGAGGCCUUCGGGUCGUAAAGCUCUGUCCUCAAGGAAGAUAAUGAC
Molecule: ribosomal RNA, 421 nt
Filed under: uncultured bacterium
Lineage: Bacteria
Description: bacterial SSU rRNA
Rfam family: Bacterial small subunit ribosomal RNA
Source: RNAcentral